Molecule: long non-coding RNA, 7304 nt
Organism: Equus caballus (horse)
Lineage: Eukaryota; Metazoa; Chordata; Mammalia; Perissodactyla; Equidae
Source: Ensembl
GGGCUCUGUAAACCUGGAAGCUUAUCUGUAUGAUUGCUGUUAAAGAUCACUUGGUAGCCGAUUACCAAGAGAUAGCCAACUCUCUCAGGGAAUUUUUGGAAGACCAUCAAGGCUCACAUGUUUAACAGGAUGCUGGAGAACAAAUCUUCGAGCUCUGGAAGGCUGGGCAACAGAAAUCGCAUGGCUCAUAUGCUGCUGCUGCGAUGAGUGUGACUUCCAUCUGCCCUGGCGUUACUGCAUCCCUCAUGCUCUCAUCAGCCUGGAAGGAUUGGCCUGGGCAGUGAGAGGAAGAUCUGCCCUUUUGAUCUCCCCUAACUCCCAAGGCGACACACAAAAAGAAGUCCCAAAGAGUGACUGGGGUAGAAUAGGACAGAAAUUUGGAUGCAAGAAAGCCCAAACUAUGACAUAUGUCCACUACAAUAAUUUUAUUUCAUCAAUCAUCAUCUAAUGACUACUGGAUAUAAGCCACACCCUGUGCCAGGUCUUAGAGACCCAAAGAGCCCUCCCUGUGGCCACAAGACGAUGGAUCAGCAGGGACCAUAACAGAAGGCAAGAGCUCAGUUAGAAGACUAUUGUAAUACUCCAGUCAAGAGGCUGCUGUCACACCAGAGAAACUGUCUCUUUUGCCUGGCACUUGUUCUUAUCCAAAGCUGAGUGUAGAAUUAUUCAGGAUGACUAAUGUUUCACCUCAGUCCUAAUGUCCUCCCACCGCAGCUUGAGAGACAGGAGUCCCCAAAGGAUCACAAAGUAACGAAUCUGGGCAGCCAGUGGAAAUGGAUCUCAUUCCAUCUCCAGCAGGUCCUGAGUCUUGUUAUGUAAACCUAGGGGUGUCCACAAGACACAAGCUCCUCUAAUCUAGGAGUCACAGGCUCGAGACCUUCCUCACUCACACCAAGCAGAUGGAGAAGAUUCAAGUUUUGCCACCAUGAAAGUAGGGUCAGAUGUUCAAGUGAAUUCCCAGUUGCCCACUGUGAAUUUAACGCCAAAGUAGCCAGAAGUUGGGAGACUAAGAAGGCAGGACUAUCCUAUGAACUCCGAUAAAUACACAGGGAGCUCUGUUCAGUUUUCCUAGCCGUUUGCAGCUGCACACAUGGGGUAUGGGAAUGUCGACACAUCCUUGCUCUGAGUGUAAUUAAUGACAAUGUGCCCAAUGUGCCAUUGACUCAGACAGAACACCUGACGGAGAUUCCGCUCGAGGCUUCUAUGGUCUCAGGGUGUGGAUGUGCCCGCAUGAACCACGCUGGAGUGUGUGAACAUCACCCUCCUGUUCCUGGCUGACUCAGAAGCAGAUCUAGGAGUCAGAAGACCUGGUUCAAGGCCUAGCCUUGCAAGGCAGCUAAAAACAAGCUUGUUAAUAAUCUCCCAGAGACCCAUCGUGCUCACUACAGGCCAGGCUCUGUCCUAAAUCCCUACAGGUAUUAAUUCAUUUAAUCCUCACAACAACUCCUGAAGCCAGUGCUAUUGUUAUUUGUAUUUGACAACUGAGGCGACUGAGGCAUGGAGGCUAAGCCACUUGCCCAUGCUUACACAGCUACAAUAAUACAAUAAACAGCAUUCAACCCCAGCCCAGCAGCUCCCACGCCUGCGCACUGUUCGCUACUGAGAAGCACGUAGAGAAUGUGGGCCAAAGCCCUGUGGAUCCCUCCAUUGCCAUCUGAAUACAAGUGCUUCUGUUGUUAGCGCUCUGACCGUCAUAGUGAUGGUGAUCCUGUGGGGGGACAUGAGCUCCCUUGGGAAGGGGCAGGUACAAGCACCCCAGCCAUACAUCAAGUCUACAUCUCUUAUUGCUACCCCAAACAAGGGGGUCUUGCUGCUUUCGUAACCAGAUGCCACCAUGGUGAAACUCCUAUCCUGGUGCCUCCCAUUUCCUUCCAGUCAUCAUCACAAACCUCCAACACACCUCCUGUGGAGAAACACCUCUUUGAAAGGCAGUCGCAGUGAGUGGCAUGCUGGCACAGAGAUGGCACUGCACACCUGCAGGCUUUCCAGUGCUAAGCCUAGCACCGCCUGCCUGUGUGCCCUCCCAUGCCGCUCCCACCGCAGCAAGCUGGGCCCACCCCUGUUUCCUCACUGCCAGCUUCAGUGGGCCAGCAAGGGCGUGGCUGACAACAGCUUUGAUUGUUGAACACACUGCCCAGAGUGGCAAUUGCUGCAGAGGACCCCAUCCAUCUGAAAGACAUCACCAACCAAACUCCGGCCCUGGGGUCAAGGCAAGGAUGAUGUGUGGCCUACGCUUGGCCACUGCAAUGCUUUCUUCUGGAACACACCAGGUGGAAGAAACAGCUGAAGGUUUUUCAUCCUGUUAGUGGGUUUCUCUGAUUUGAAGGAAGAAGAGAUUAUGAAAAGAAGAGAACAAGAAGAGAAUGCUGAGUGGGCUGUGGAAUCUGGGUGAAAAAGGAUAUGACAAAGAGGAAAGUCCUAGAGGGUCUAUUCAUCAAGAGAAGACUCAGGAACCUCUAAACUGACAACCACACUCCAAGUCCAGGAAAGGGGCAAGAAAUUUCUUUCUUUCUACAGGGUUCUGUCUACAGACUCCUUUAGGCAUAUUCCUCUCCAGGGGAGUUGUGUUGGUCCUGGGUUCCGGGCUAUAUAUCCAUCAUAAAAUUUUCCUAGCCUGCUCCCCAAACUCUGCAUGUGUUCUCUGAGUCAUCGUGGCCAGGACCUCAGCUGUUGCAGCCCGGGGUCAUUCCCCAUGAGGCGCUCUUCUGCAUAAACAGUGUUAUUCCUCUGAGACCCACCUCCCCAUGCUCUGCUUAUCCUCAAUGCAAUUCAGCACACAAAUGUUGAACGCCUGCUCUAUGCCAGACAAAGCAGGCACAGUGUUCUUAACAAUUUUGAGUCUUGCAUCUCUUUAAAAAUCAUGGCAAAACAUGACAUUAAAAAACAUGACAGCUGUGGACCCUCUUUCUAGAAAAAUGCGUGUAUAUAUGAAUUUUUCUAGGCAAUCUCCGGAAGCCAGAUAAAAUACUCUAGGUUAAGAAGCUGCUGAAUGAAAAGAAAGUGAAUGAGACUUAGACACGUGUGGGGCUGAGACUUAGCUCUGUCAUUUACCAACAGUAGGACCGUGGGGGAGCGCCCCAAACUCUCCGAACCUCAGUUUGUUCAACCCUAAAAUGGGACUGGUAAGACUUGUCUCACCCUCAUGAGAUUGUAGUGAGAUUUUAUCAAAGGAUGGUUAUAGACAUAGAAAAUGUUAUAUCUGAGCACUCCCCACAUAUGUGAAUUGAUAAGGAUUUCAAAAUCUCACCCUUUGGAAGGAGGGAGGUGAAGAUUUGUGAUUGCCAAUGUUUUACAAAUGAAAAUUCUGAGGUAAGCUAAAAUGACAGGCUUUGCCAAAUUGAAUCUAAUCUUAUAAUUCCUCAGGGACAAGAAGACGAUAAAAUAUUAGGGACUAUAGAGUUUUCCAGAUCUGUUUCAGGCUCUGAUCUCGCCUUUGGGAGCCCCCUCAUUUGCCAACAGGGUGAAGAGCAACCUUGGCCCUCAUUCCUGGAAUCAUUUCUGUUGGUUGAUGUCUCUCUGAGGACUGCAAUGCUCACACAGAGAAACCGAUUCAUCUGGAAAUCCAAUACACCCGUGAUUCAUUUGGCUCAGAACUAAUCCGGGAGGAGGUUUCUUGGGGGUAUUAAAAUGUAUUCUCUUCACCUUCAGUGCUUUAAUAGUAGUUCUCCAGGGUUUUUGCCCUUACUUCAGUUCUCCCAAGAUGAUUCUAGGUUGAGAGUUUGGAUGAUGCUGCCAGAAAUAUGAUCGGUUCAGAAUAUCUGAGCCCACAUGCCGUUGUGAAGAAAGUGGUGAAGGAUUCAAGCUUGGCUUCCAUUUGCCUUGGAUAGUUGUAUUGAACCUGGAGCAGAUACUCCACUAAUAGGUGGAUAAGUAGGAAGAACUGGAAAUUUUCUGUUCAAAAUACGGACAGAAUCUGUUCCUGAGAAGUUUCUAGAAGCUCUUUAAAACAUUUGAUUGUGUUUACUUCUAAAAGUAGAGCACAACAGCUUGGUGUACUAAAGGUAUGUCAGCAGCCCUGUGUGCCAAAGGUUUGAACAUCACAAAAGCUUAGGAAGCCAGGGAGGGAGGGAAGAAGGAAGGAAGGAAGGCCAACAGAAAAUCGAAGCCAGUGCAAAUUCAAUGUCAGCAAUUCCCAAAUGAACACGAACCAGAUCCGUAGCUAAUGACGAGAGCGAGAACGUGGUCUUGGAGGCACACCUCGGUGUAGGCUCAGUCGUCUUCUUUACAGGAGCAUUUCAUGGGAGGCAUCUGAAGACACGGACCCUCCCCUUCUUUACUUAAGACUUUUCUGGGCAGAAAAAUAUUGCAUUAAGUCUUUUUUCAGAUGAGCAAACAAAUAACGGCUGUUUGGAGAGUCACUAAAAAUACGGUGUAACAUUAAAAAUUAAAUAAAAAUAGAUCAUAACCCGGAACAUUUUUAUUGGGCUUUAUAGAAAAUCUCAGACUUGGGUAGACUUUCCUGCUUUUGACCCUCACAACAGCCCUGCAAGGCAGAUAAAACAUACAGCUUUUAUUAAUCUCAUUAUGAAAUCAAACUAAGGCUCCAUGGGCUGUAUAAGGCCACAGACUGUCCUGUCUCAGCUUUGUGGUUCUCUUCAAGUCAUCAGGCCACAGCAGGAGAGAAGGAAGAAGCUCUGAAUCGAUAGCUGGCCAUAGGGGAAGAGGAUGGAAAUUGGGACAUGGGCUCCUAUGAGUUCCCACACCAAAGGCCAGACACACUAGGUACAAUCCAGGGCUGCUUGAGUCUUAUGGUCCGAGGGCAAGCACAAAAUGAGGCUGGAUAGGGAAAGCUGAGAUGGCAAGGAGGCCAUUGGAGUGAUCUGCAUGGAUUCCUGAGGAGUUGGAGUGGCCCACAUCCUGUCGUGGGAGCGUUUUGGUAAAGGGUCCGAGGCUCUGCUUCCAUUGGCCUUUGAUGGUUUUGUUGAGAUUUGAACUGGGGCUGGUAGUCCACUAGUGAAUGGGAAGAACUUCAAACCCAGGAUUUUCUAGAUUCUUUAGUCCAGUGCUGUUUCUUCUUCAGUAAGUGUUUUGUGUAGAAAAAACAAAAAUAUGUAUGUGCAUUUUAACGACUUGUCUCUGGCAGCAAAAUGAAAACCGUGAAUCAACUAGAGCCAAGUCCUGUGUGCAGGACAUCCCCGACCUUAAUCAUACAAAGGUGCCUGUCAAAAAGGGGCGGUAAGUGCUGGGAAGUGUCUGCAUCGUGCCUGAACCACUAGGAACUAAAAACAUCCGCUGGAGGGGUGCUUCCUUUCUUCUUCAAGGAGGUAAGUAGAAGUAACCUCCCCACCUAUUGGAGCCAAAAUGCAGCUUCCCAUCGGUGAGCCCAGCAAUCUUUCUUUCCCUUGAACAAGGUUCCCAUGUGGGUUCAUGAGAAGAUGAGUACUUUGGGACAUUAACAGAGGUUAUCCAAAGAAAGGCUUAGGGGCAAAACAUGGUGCUGAGAUAAACAAAGCUUCAGCAGGCUUUUCACUGCAGACCGUUCAGAACCCUUAAUACUCCAGGUACAUUGUGCAGUUCCAGAAGGGGCAUCCGGGAGGGAGGAGUCCCAGAUUUGGCCAUGGACUCUUGCCGUGUGAGAAUCUUGGGAGAAGGGUGUGCUGUAGAACAAAGUUUAUAGCAUGAUUUAGAUCUUCUGAAUACGUUGUAUUCAGAUGAGCAAAGAAAAUGUAGCUGAUCAUUUUUUUUAAAACUAGUCUAAUUUUCUUCAUAACACCCUAUCCUGUUGGGUAAGAGGUAGGAGCGACCAUGUUUAUUUAAGUCCAAUGAACUUGCUUAAAUGCAGUCAUUUAAAGUCUUUCUAGGUCUUUUGGGGAAAGUUCUCAGCUCCCACCUCUGCUCCUCUGAGGUGACAUCUAAGUAUAGGGGAGAGGACUGUAUUCUACAUGGUUAUUGGAGGGAGGGUGGCGUGGUUGGAUAGGUGUGAGUUCCAUUGGUUCCACGCCAGUAUCUGCUGUGGAACAACUGGCUGGGACUGCUGCAUGGUGCUGACCAUUCGGUCUGGGUGCUUUCUUGGUGUCGCUGCUGUCCUCUGCUGCUGCUGUAACUCACAGGCUGGUCUCUCUUAGGUUGACUUGGCCCACCAUUGCUUCUGCUGGCACCACAGACCCUUUUGAGUCUCUGUUCCACUGCUCUGAGGCCAUUUCAUCUCUCACCAAGGCCUCCUGGCACGUCCAUUGGCUCUCAAUUCAGCUUUGUUGUCCCCUGAGAGGGUAACAUGGGGACUGUGGGGUGCCUUCCACAUCACCUAGGAGCCAAACUCCCUCCACUACAUCAUGCUGUGCCCUGAGUUUUCUCUGAUGUGGCUGCACAUGGAAGGUUGGUAUGGGGAGCUCACAGGGGAAUCUCCUCCCAGGGUUCCAAGUGAGACGUGAGGUAGAAAUGCUGUCCCGAGUUUCUCUCCACUCAUCUGCCACACUACCUUAGCCCAGAGGCGUGCCCGCCCAACUGCCGGUUUCUCCUUCCCUAGUCUCUUUUCUUUUCCCAUUGAUUGAGACUCUUUGACCUAAAAGGCUAGGAUCAAUCGAUUGUCUUCAGGCCCACCAGCACUGCACUUCUCCCUAAAGGGUCGGGAUAGAGGGACUUACAAAACCCUUCCCGCAAAGACAAAGCUUGGAUUCCAAGACUAUUUUCUCACUUCAAAAUCCUAGUUCGGAUGCUAGAAGCUAAACGUUAUCUCUUCAUCUUUCUUUGCAUCUAUAAGAUCCCUAAAAUUCCCCAAAGCAAAACAAUUCCCCUUGAAGAAAAAGGAGGAGUCAUCAGUACAAGAAAAAAAUGUAUUUGUAUGUUUUAAAAUAUUAUUUUGAUUAUCUGGGAUUUGCUGCUCAGAGAAUAGUAUGGCCAACCAAAUAGAGUUAGUGGGACCUAAAACAUUUAAUUGAACAAAAUGGGGGAUCGUUCUUAUGAGAGUUAGUGAAAAACAGUUAUUUUCAGUCUGUCCCCAGAGUUACAAAAUGCACAAAGGUAAAAUAAUGACAUGUGUACUGUACUCAACUGCCUCCAGCUGAACUGAGAAAGCCGGAAAUGCCUACUAGUCAGUCACUUCCUUGCCCGGCCUGCUGCAGACUUAAGAACCUUAGCCAAGCCCCAUGUGAACACAGAGCACAGGGCCAGAUGCAUGCUCUCACAGGCUCGCGCUAGGAUCAUAAUCACCCAAUAGGCUUCCAACCUUUAGAGUACUACAGGCCCAGAUUUUAGGGGACUAAGAUGAACAGUUCUACUUGAGAUUGCUCAAAUUUAUAGCUUCUGUGGUUGGAAGAUCUUUUAAAAUUAUUCUUAUAAAAAAUUGCAAACAUAUAGAAAGGAAC